UGGGGAAUAUUGCACAAUGGAGGGAACUCUGAUGCAGCGACGCUGCGUGAACGAAGAAGGCUUUCGAGUCGUAAAGUUCUUCUAUAUGGGAAGAUAAUGACGGUACCAUAAGAAAAAGCCCCGGCUAACUACGUGCCAGCAGCCGCGGUAAUACGUAGGGGGCUAGCGUUGUCCGGAAUCACUGGGCGUAAAGGGUUCGCAGGCGGAAAUGCAAGUCAGGUGUAAAAGGCAGUAGCUUAACUACUGUAAGCAUUUGAAACUGCAUAUCUUGAGAAGAGUAGAGGUAAGUGGAAUUUUUAGUGUAGCGGUGAAAUGCGUAGAUAUUAAAAAGAAUACCGGUGGCGAAGGCGACUUACUGGGCUCAUUCUGACGCUGAGGAACGAAAGCGUGGGUAGCAAACAGG
This 403-nucleotide ribosomal RNA is filed under the name Bacteroidota bacterium. RNAcentral describes it as "Bacteroidetes bacterium partial 16S ribosomal RNA". It matches the Rfam family "Bacterial small subunit ribosomal RNA", at positions 355 to 776 of the family's 1533-position model. The record is from RNAcentral. Lineage: Bacteria; Pseudomonadati; Bacteroidota.